RNAcentral lists this transfer RNA (70 nucleotides) under Podarcis lilfordi (Lilford's wall lizard). Its description in RNAcentral is "tRNA.Ile". The stretch from base 4 to 62 matches the Rfam family "tRNA", at positions 8 to 63 of the family's 71-position model. From Rfam's summary of the family: Transfer RNA (tRNA) molecules are approximately 80 nucleotides in length. Their secondary structure includes four short double-helical elements and three loops (D, anti-codon, and T loops). Further hydrogen bonds mediate the characteristic L-shaped molecular structure. tRNAs have two regions of fundamental functional importance: the anti-codon, which is responsible for specific mRNA codon recognition, and the 3' end, to which the tRNAs corresponding amino acid is attached (by aminoacyl-tRNA synthetases). tRNAs cope with the degeneracy of the genetic code in two manners: having more than one tRNA (with a specific anti-codon) for a particular amino acid; and 'wobble' base-pairing, i.e. permitting non-standard base-pairing at the 3rd anti-codon position. The record is from RNAcentral. Lineage: Eukaryota; Metazoa; Chordata; Lepidosauria; Squamata; Lacertidae.
GGGUAGCUCAGUUGAUUAGAGCAUGGUGCUGAUAACACCAAGGCCACAGGUUCGAUCCCCAUAAGAGACA